RNAcentral lists this ribosomal RNA (253 nucleotides) under uncultured bacterium. Its description in RNAcentral is "partial 16S ribosomal RNA". It matches the Rfam family "Bacterial small subunit ribosomal RNA", at positions 524 to 776 of the family's 1533-position model. The record is from RNAcentral.
UACGUAGGGUGCAAGCGUUAAUCGGAAUUACUGGGCGUAAAGCGUUCGCAGGCGGUUUUGUAAGUCUGAUGUGAAAUCCCCGGGCUCAACCUGGGAAUUGCAUUGGAGACUGCAAGGCUAGAAUCUGGCAGAGGGGGGUAGAAUUCCACGUGUAGCAGUGAAAUGCGUAGAGAUGUGGAGGAACACCGAUGGCGAAGGCAGCCCCCUGGGUCAAGAUUGACGCUCAUGCACGAAAGCGUGGGGAGCAAACAGG